This 491-nucleotide ribosomal RNA is filed under the name uncultured bacterium. RNAcentral describes it as "partial 16S ribosomal RNA". It matches the Rfam family "Bacterial small subunit ribosomal RNA", at positions 29 to 506 of the family's 1533-position model. The record is from RNAcentral.
AGUGAACGCUGGCGGUAGGCCUAACACAUGCAAGUCGAACGGCAGCACAGUAAGAGCUUGCUCUUACGGGUGGCGAGUGGCGGACGGGUGAGGAAUACAUCGGAAUCUACUUUUUCGUGGGGGAUAACGUAGGGAAACUUACGCUAAUACCGCAUACGACCUACGGGUGAAAGCAGGGGAUCUUCGGACCUUGCGCGAUUGAAUGAGCCGAUGUCGGAUUAGCUAGUUGGCGGGGUAAAGGCCCACCAAGGCGACGAUCCGUAGCUGGUCUGAGAGGAUGAUCAGCCAAACUGGAACGGGGACACGGUCAAGAUCCCAACGGGAGGAAGCAGUGGGGAAAAUUGGCCAAUGGGCGCAAGCCUGAGCCGGCCAUCCGGCGGGGGUGAAGAAGGCCUUCGGGUUGUAAAGCCCUUUUGUUGGGAAGAAAAAGCAGCAGGUUAAUACCCCGCUGUUCCGACGGUACCCAAAGAAUAAGCACCGGCUAACUUCGU